Long non-coding RNA from Brienomyrus brachyistius, 410 nucleotides. RefSeq lists it as uncharacterized. NCBI's taxonomy places the organism in Eukaryota, Metazoa, Chordata, Actinopteri, Osteoglossiformes, Mormyridae. The transcript has 2 exons. The record is from RefSeq and is a predicted model, not a curated record.
UCAUGGAAUGUAAUGGGGGGAGGUACAUGGUUAACCUUUUUGGAGACCAAUUUUAGCAACAAGGCUGAAAUCAUCCACCUUCGCUUAUUCAGUAUGGAUCGCGAGAACGCAGAGCCGGUGUGGGGAAGCCGAGGGGUCCUGCCACGCAACCACCUGAUUGGCAAUGCGACACCUCCGAGGAAUGACAGCUGGAGAGGUGGAGAAACCGGAAAGACGAACCCCUCCGACCGAUGAUUAAAAACGCCAUUAUGCUAAGCGGUCGCUUGCUGGUACUGCUAAGAGAGACAUUCCAGGCCCACAGGAGUCACCCGAAAUGUGAAAAUUCAGCAAAGGACACGCAGCGCAUUUGUUCAUGGUUUGAAUUUGCAAUGAAUAAAAUGAGGUUAUAAAGAAACACUGAAUCAUCGAAA